Non-coding RNA from Pelobates cultripes (western spadefoot toad), 332 nucleotides. The record is from the annotation of a GenBank genome assembly. Lineage: Eukaryota; Metazoa; Chordata; Amphibia; Anura; Pelobatidae.
UGGCACCAUAAUCACUACAGCACAAUGUAUUGUUCCUUUAAAUAAUCUUCUUUAGGAACUUGAGCCAUCAUAUUGUCUUGUAGAAGUUGGUUGAUUUAUUUUCAAGAGGGCGUCUGUAAAGAGGGAUGCUUUGAAUCACCAAACUGCUCUGUCAGUAAUCAGACUGUAUGUAUGUUAAGUGUCUGAAAUACUUGAAAGGCUUAAACAAGGAUCACCUAGUCUCAACACCCAGGCAUGCUGAUCUCUAGAAAGACUACUUUAAUCCUACAAAAAGGACUAGGUUCUGCCUCGACCAGCUCUUGAGGAAGAAACCUUCUGUUGAGUUUUCCAAG